This is a non-coding RNA of Potamilus streckersoni, 72 nucleotides long. Lineage: Eukaryota; Metazoa; Mollusca; Bivalvia; Unionida; Unionidae. The record is from the annotation of a GenBank genome assembly.
GCUCCGGUAGCCUAGUGGUUAGAGCGUCCACUGCGGAUGCGGGGGUCGCAGGUUCGAACCCCAACCGAAUCA